This 254-nucleotide ribosomal RNA is filed under the name uncultured bacterium. Its description in RNAcentral is "partial 16S ribosomal RNA". It matches the Rfam family "Bacterial small subunit ribosomal RNA", at positions 524 to 776 of the family's 1533-position model. The record is from RNAcentral.
UACGUAGGCAGCAAGCGUUGUUCGGAGUUACUGGGCGUAAAGGGUGUGUAGACGGUUAUUUAAGUUUGGUGUGAAAUCUCCCGGCUCAACCGGGAGGGUGCGCCGAAUACUGAAUGACUUGGAGUGCGGGAGAGGAAAGUGGAAUUCCUGGUGUAGCGGUGAAAUGCGUAGAUAUCAGGAGGAACACCGGUGGUGUAGACGGCUUUCUGGACCGUAACUGACGCUGAGACACGAAAGCGUGGGUAGCAAACAGG